GAUGAACGCUGGCGGCGUGCCUAAUACAUGCAAGUCGAGCGAACAGACGAGGAGCUUGCUCCUCUGACGUUAGCGGCGGACGGGUGAGUAACACGUGGAUAACCUACCUAUAAGACUGGGAUAACUUCGGGAAACCGGAGCUAAUACCGGAUAAUAUAUUGAACCGCAUGGUUCAAUAGUGAAAGACGGUUUUGCUGUCACUUAUAGUAGGAUCCGCGCCGCAUUAGCUAGUUGGUAAGGUAACGGCUUACCAAGGCGACGAUGCGUAGCCCACCUGAGAGGGUGAUCGGCCACACUGGAACUGAGACACGGUCCAGACUCCUACGGGAGGCAACAGUCGGGAAUCUUCCGCAAUGGGCGAAAGCCUGACGGAACAACGCCGCGUGAGUGAUGAAGGUCUUCGGAUCGUAAAACUCUGUUGUUAGGAAAGAACAAAUGUGUAAGUAACUAUGCACGUCAUGACGGUACCUAAUCAGAAAGCCACGGCUAACUACGUG
RNAcentral lists this ribosomal RNA (497 nucleotides) under uncultured bacterium. Its description in RNAcentral is "partial 16S ribosomal RNA". It matches the Rfam family "Bacterial small subunit ribosomal RNA", at positions 28 to 507 of the family's 1533-position model. The record is from RNAcentral.